GCCUGCCUUGGCAUUUCAGCAUUCUCGGCAUGCUGUAGGGAUAAUAAUGAAUUUUUUUUAUUGCCAAAAUUGCCCUCAUAGAUUUAUCUAAUUUCCACUUUAACCCUUCUUUUGUUAGAAACCCUAGAAGCAGUGGUCACGCUAACCCCUUAAGCUCCGCUCGCUUCGCCUCUCUCUCUCUCUCGUUGCUCUCUGUUCACCGUUUUCUUCUCUCGUGAUCGCCUCUUGGUGGCCUCUCUCUUCGCUUAGAACCAAGUCGUUUGCCUUGCCAUGCUCGCCUUUGUCUUCGCUCGGAACCCAGUUGCUCAUCUCACCUCGAAUCCAGAACCAAGUCGCUCGCCUCGCCGUGCUCGCCUUUGUCUUCGCUCGUCACCCAAUUGCUCGUCUCACCUCCAAUCCAGGAUAGGGAAAACGGAGAUCUAUUGGUUGAAGUUUUAAGCAUGAAAAUUGUCGGUUGAAAGUGUGAGCGAAUGAUGGAAGGAGAGAAAGAGGACAUAAGAUGCUCAGGCAAAUCCAAUAGAGAGGGUGGCCUCUAUGAAAGACUAUAAUUGUCAUCUAAAAAUGGUAGCAUAAAUCCACAAAAUACCAUUAUCCUAAAAUAAACAAGCUACUCCAUGAAACUUGUGUAUGAAUGGCGUGAUUGAUU
Syzygium oleosum is the source of this 646-nucleotide long non-coding RNA. RefSeq lists it as uncharacterized. The transcript is spliced from 3 exons. Lineage: Eukaryota; Viridiplantae; Streptophyta; Magnoliopsida; Myrtales; Myrtaceae. The record is from RefSeq and is a predicted model, not a curated record.